AGAGUUUGAUCCUGGCUCAGGAUCAACGCUGGCGGCGUGCCUAAUGCAUGCAAGUCGGACGGGGGCGCCUUCGGGCGUCUCACGUGGCGGACGGGUGCGGAACACGUGGGCGACCUACCCUGGGGCGGGGGAUAGCCACGGGAAACCGUGGGUAAUUCCGCAUGGGCUUGGUCCGGAGUAGCCGGAGUAAGCAAAGGCCUGGUGCAAGCCGGGCCACCCUAGGCGGGGCCUGCGGCCGAUUAGCUAGUUGGGGGGGUAACGGCCUCCCAAGGCGAUGAUCGGUAGCUGGUCUGAGAGGACGGCCAGCCACACGGGGACUGAGACACGGCCCCGACUCCUACGGGAGGCAGCAGCAAGGAAUCUUCCGCAAUGGGCGCAAGCCUGACGGAGCAACGCCGCGUGCGGGAUGACGCCUUUCGGGGUGUAAACCGCUUUUCGGGGGGAAGAAGGUCGGUCCGCGAGGAUCGGCUUGACGGUACCCCCGGAAGAAGGACCGGCUAACUACGUGCCAGCAGCCGCGGUAAUACGUAGGGUCCGAGCGUUGUCCGGAGUUACUGGGCGUAAAGGGCACGCAGGCGGCGGCACUGGCCCGGCGUGAAAGCCCCCGGCUCAACCGGGGAGGGUCGUCGGGGACCGUGCCGCUUGAGGGCAGCAGGGGGUGGUGGAAUGCCCGGUGUAGUGGUGAAAUGCGUAGAGAUCGGGCGGAACACCCGUGGCGAAGGCGGCCACCUGGGCUGCACCUGACGCUGAGGUGCGAAGGCGUGGGGAGCGAACGGGAUUAGAUACCCCGGUAGUCCACGCAGUAAACGAUGCCGACUAGGCGUGGGGGGACUUGACCCCCUCCGUGCCGGAGCCAACGCGGGAAGUCGGCCGCCUGGGGAGUACGGCCGCAAGGCUAA
Molecule: ribosomal RNA, 899 nt
Filed under: uncultured bacterium
Lineage: Bacteria
Description: bacterial SSU rRNA
Rfam family: Bacterial small subunit ribosomal RNA
Source: RNAcentral